AUAAAAAAAAAAAGAAAAAAGGAAAAAAAAAAAAAAAUUUUGCUUGUUUAGUUAUUCACUUAGUCUUUUAGUUAUCUACUCAUUUUUUUUUUAUUUAACCUCAUUUUUUUUGUGUGCAGAAAAAACAUAUUACAACUUCUAGAUUUAGAUGAACGGAUUUUUAAAACCCCAGAAAACAUUUUUUUUUCCAUCAAAAGAUUUCAGUUUAUUUCUGAAAAUGUUUAAAAAAAAUAAUUCAGAUUUAGUAUAUGGUUUGGACGUGGAAAACGUGUCGAAGAUGCUAAUAAAUAAAUAUACGACUUAUAUGAACGAAAAUGUUUUAAACAAAAAAGUAGAAUUUACAAGUGACAUAAAAAAUACAUUGGACAAUGGAUAUAACCACUUCAUGGAGCAACGUGAUAACUGGUACAACUGCAGAGAACUAAUUGAAGAUAUAGAAACGAAUAGAAAACAAUCUAAAAAGAUAGAAGAGUUUGUUUUAGGAGUUUGUGCAUGUACUAAAACGAUCAUUUAUAAUGAGAAAUAUUCGAAUAACUCAAUAAAAGAAUAUAAAGAGAAAAGUUUUAAAAAAGAUAAUAAGCAAAACGUGUAUCAUGAGGAAUUUAACAUCGAUUGUGAUAUGGAAAAAGAUUUUUACGAUACAUGUAUAAAUUAUAUUGAAUAUGAAGAUAUAUGUUUAUAUAACACUAUACGAACAAUAGGAUACUCAAUGUAUUGUUAUAAAAACAAUAUAUUUUUUUAUAAUUUAAAAAAAAAAGCUAAAAAAUAUUAUUUGAUUGGUUUUCAUGACUUUUUAAGUAGUAAUAAAUUUAUUAUGUGUAUAUUAAAAAAAAAAAAAAAAAUCAAAAGAUGAUGGUGGUAUAUUAUAUGUUCGUGGGUAUGAUUAUAAUAUGCUUCCAAAUUUAUCAAAAACAAAAAAUAAUAUGAAUAAAUUAAAAAAAAUUAUAAAAAUAUAUACAUUGAAUUAUUUAAAGGUUUUAUUAAUUUGUAAAAAAGUAAUAACUAAUGAAGAAAUAGGUAAAUAUCUUGUCUUAAAAAAUAUGAAUAAUAAAACAACUCUUAAUAUGUAUGAUACGAUGAAAUUAUUUUUUUUAUAUGACCUAAAAGUUGUUGGAAUUGUAGGAUUAAAAAGUACAUUAAAUGAUGGAGUGAAAGAAACAUUUCAAGAUAUAAUCAAAUUUGAUAUUAGGUCAUGGAUAUUUACAAAUGAUAAUCCUAAAGAUACAUAUUUGACAGCACUACAAUGUAACUUAAUACCAUCUAAUUCAAAUUUUUUUUUAAUUAACUUUUUUUCUUCAUCAGACAAUCUUAAACAAAUGACUGAAAAUUUAUUUUAUAAUUUUAUUUUUUCAAUGAAAAAACUAAAAUCGAAUUCGUAUGCUAUUGCGAUAAAUGAUUCGAGUAUUAUAAAUAUAAUGAAUGAUGAAAACGCAAUGCGAAUAUUCCUCUCAAUAGCCAUGAAAGCAACAGUGGUUUUGUUUUGUAACUUGCAAAAUGAUAUAAAAGGAAAGAUUAUAAAAAAGUUACGUGCGUUUAGUAAACCUGAGUUAACCAUAUUAGGCAUUGGGUUGACAUUGGAUGAUGCUUCUUUGUUAAAUCAUAGUACUAUAAGUGUAUGUUUAACUUUCAAAGAACAAAUGCAUGUGUUGUAUACUAUUUCUGAUUAUGCAUUGCAAAAGUUUAAAUAUCUUAGCGAGUUGUUAAUAAUAGGUCGAAAAAAUAGAUUUACUUUAUGGUAAGCAUAAAAAAAAAAAAAAAAAAAAAAAUCAUAAUACAUUUUCAGUUUGUGCAUUUUCAGUCUGUGCGUUUUCUUUUUAUGUUUCAUUUUUGUCGUAAGAUAAUUACAAUACUUUAUAUGUAUACAUAAGUUUAUAUUAUUUUAAUCCAUUUGUGUUUUCUACCCGUUUCUUCAUUUGUCUAUCCAUUUUUUUAUUUUCCAUUUUUUUACUUUCCAUUUUUUUACUUUCCAUUUUUUUUAUUUUCCAUUUUUUUAUUUUCCAUUUUUAUACUAUCCAUUUUUUUAUUUUCCAUUUUUUUUACUUUCCAUUUUUAUACUAUCCAUUUUUUUAUUUUCCAUUUUUCUACUUUCCAUUUUUCUACUUUCCAUUUUUCUACUUUCCAUUUUUCUACUUUCCAUUUUUAUACUAUCCAUUUUUUUAUUUUCCAUUUUUCUACUUUCCAUUUUUAUACUAUCCAUUUUUUUAUUUUCCAUUUUUUUAUUUUCCAUUUUUUUUAUUUUCCAUUUUUCUACUUUCCAUUUUUUUUAUUUUCCAUUUUUUUACUUUCCAUUUUUUUUAUUUUCCAUUUUUCUACUUUCCAUUUUUUUU
Long non-coding RNA from Piliocolobus tephrosceles (Ugandan red Colobus), 2327 nucleotides. The record is from Ensembl. NCBI's taxonomy places the organism in Eukaryota, Metazoa, Chordata, Mammalia, Primates, Cercopithecidae.